UGCGUAGGUGGUAUGGCAAGUCAGAAGUGAAAACACGGGGCUCAACCCCGUGACUGCUUUUGAAACUGUCAGACUAGAGUACAGGAGAGGCAAGCGGAAUUCCUAGUGUAGCGGUGAAAUGCGUAGAUAUUAGGAGGAACACCAGUGGCGAAGGCGGCUUGCUGGACUGGUACUGACACUGAGGCACGAAAGCGUGGGGAGCAAACA
Molecule: ribosomal RNA, 207 nt
Filed under: uncultured bacterium
Lineage: Bacteria
Description: partial 16S ribosomal RNA
Rfam family: Bacterial small subunit ribosomal RNA
Source: RNAcentral